RNAcentral lists this transfer RNA (66 nucleotides) under Rubiconia intermedia. RNAcentral describes it as "tRNA-His". The record is from RNAcentral. Lineage: Eukaryota; Metazoa; Arthropoda; Insecta; Hemiptera; Pentatomidae.
GAUCCAGAUAGUUUAAUUAGAAUAAUAAUUUGUGGUAUUUUAGGUGAAGUAUAAUUUCUCUGGGUC